Molecule: ribosomal RNA, 253 nt
Filed under: uncultured bacterium
Lineage: Bacteria
Description: partial 16S ribosomal RNA
Rfam family: Bacterial small subunit ribosomal RNA
Source: RNAcentral
UACGAGGGGUGCAAGCGUUGCUCGGAAUUAUUGGGCGUAAAGGGUAGGUAGGUGGUCUCAUUUGUCUGGGGUGAAAGCUUUGGGCUUAACUCAAGAAGUGCCCCGGAAACGGUGAGACUGGAGUCCUGGAGAGGGUCGUGGAAUUCCCGGUGUAGCGGUGAAAUGCGUAGAGAUCUGGAGGAACACCGAUGGCGAAGGCAGCCCCCUGGGCUAACACUGACGCUCAUGCACGAAAGCGUGGGGAGCAAACAGG